Molecule: long non-coding RNA, 614 nt
Organism: Pocillopora damicornis (cauliflower coral)
Lineage: Eukaryota; Metazoa; Cnidaria; Anthozoa; Scleractinia; Pocilloporidae
Source: RefSeq, a predicted model, not a curated record
CCGUUGAAUGGCCAGUGUCGAUUUUCUAUUAAUUAUUUCUCGGUGCUUUUGUUCAAAGGAGCAAUUAUGAACUCACUUUGAAUAGGAAAUUUUCUAUAAAACCUGGCGUGCAAGGAUGUAAGACGCCCUAAAAUCAGUCACCGAGUGAGAGGCACAAGAGCUACAGUACUGUACAAUUAAGACCUCGAAUUUUCUCGUCAUUAAAGAUGAAAUCCGAAACAAUUCUUUUGGUGAUGGCGUUUUUAGUGGCGGCUGCUACCUUAUCAUCAGCGGAUGAUUGUUUAGACUGCACCACUACUUUCACCAUGUGUUUUGAUGCGUGCCAAAAUCCGACCAUUUGCUCUCAGUGCAUCGAUGCGAAAGACGACUGUCAGAGUACAUAUUGCGGUAAAAAAAGAAGCUUUCGACCAAGACUUCGUUCCUUCAAUGACUUUAUGAAACAAAAGCGAGUUUAAGAGAUACCAAAAUUAAGAAGAGUACCUUCAAAAGAAUCGCCCAUAUAGUACUGAAAUCAUUGUAUUAGAAUACUUGGAGUAGUAAGAGUAUCUACUAUUGUAACCCUACUCCAUUCAUUUAGAAAGUUGUAAAAAAAAAAACUAUCCACUCUCUCACAA